UAGAUUUCUUCAUAAUUUAGAGUUAGACCUUGACCUUGGACAUUGAAGGCAAUCAGAGUUAUCUCUAAAUUUGAUGUAAAUAAGACUGGGGCCUGACUUCUUUUGUAUUUUGUUUUUAAUGAUCUUCAUAAAAAUUGUUUUUGGAGAAAAAUGGAUACAACACUGUGAUUUGCCAUUAUCUUAUGAGAGUAAGCUUCAUGGACAAGCUAUUUCGAUAUGAACAUAAAUGUAAAAUGGGAUAAAAUGAAAAAGGGGAUUACCAACAGAAGAUCCAACUAGCAUUACAUCUUUCUUUGAUAAGACACCUAAAAACACUUUGAAUGGUGGUGCAGACCCCUUUGAAUUGAGGAGAGGAAGGAUAUAUUACUGCUGUUGGAACUGCACUUCCCUUUGGAAAAAAUAAAAUGUGUUAUUGCCACAUACAGGGGGUGAAGAUAAAGAAGACUUACGUCUCCUCUACAU
Molecule: long non-coding RNA, 462 nt
Organism: Gavialis gangeticus (Gharial)
Lineage: Eukaryota; Metazoa; Chordata; Crocodylia; Gavialidae
Exons: 4
Source: RefSeq, a predicted model, not a curated record